GAUGAACGCUGGCGGCGUGCCUAAUACAUGCAAGUCGAGCGAACAGACGCGGAGCUUGCUCCUCUGACGUUAGCGGCGGACGGGUGAGUAACACGUGGAUAACCUACCUAUAAGACUGGGAUAACUUCGGGAAACCGGAGCUAAUACCGGAUAAUAUAUUGAACCGCAUGGUUCAAUAGUGAAAGACGGUUUUGCUGUCACUUAUAGAUGGAUCCGCGCCGCAUUAGCUAGUUGGUAAGGUAACGGCUUACCAAGGCAACGAUGCGUAGCCGACCUGAGAGGGUGAUCGGCCACACUGGAACUGAGACACGGUCCAGACUCCUACGGGAGGCAGCAGUAGGGAAUCUUCCGCAAUGGGCGAAAGCUUGACGGAGCAACGCCGCGUGAGUGAUGAAGGUCUUCGGAUUGUAAAACUCUGUUAUUAGGGAAGAACAAAUGUGUAAGUAACUAUGCACGUCUUGACGGUACCUAAUCAGAAAGCCACGGCUAACUACGUG
RNAcentral lists this ribosomal RNA (497 nucleotides) under uncultured bacterium. RNAcentral's name for it is "partial 16S ribosomal RNA". It matches the Rfam family "Bacterial small subunit ribosomal RNA", at positions 28 to 507 of the family's 1533-position model. The record is from RNAcentral.